Molecule: ribosomal RNA, 253 nt
Filed under: uncultured bacterium
Lineage: Bacteria
Description: partial 16S ribosomal RNA
Rfam family: Bacterial small subunit ribosomal RNA
Source: RNAcentral
UACGAAGGGGGCUAGCGUUGCUCGGAAUUACUGGGCGUAAAGGGCGCGUAGGCGGACAGUUUAGUCAGAGGUGAAAGCCCAGGGCUCAACCUUGGAAUUGCCUUUGAUACUGGCGGGCUUGAAUCCGGGAGAGGGAUGUGGAAUUCCAGGUGUAGCGGUGAAAUGCGUAGAUAUCUGGAGGAACACCGGUGGCGAAGGCGGCAUCCUGGACCGGUAUUGACGCUGAGGCGCGAAAGCUAGGGGAGCAAACGGG